RNAcentral lists this ribosomal RNA (469 nucleotides) under uncultured bacterium. RNAcentral describes it as "partial 16S ribosomal RNA". It matches the Rfam family "Bacterial small subunit ribosomal RNA", at positions 28 to 507 of the family's 1533-position model. The record is from RNAcentral.
GAUGAACGCUGGCGGCGUGCUUAACACAUGCAAGUCGAACGAUGAAGCUGGAGCUUGCUCUGGUGGAUUAGUGGCGAACGGGUGAGUAACACGUGAGCAACCUGCCCCUGACUCUGGGAUAACAGCCGGAAACGGCUGCUAAUACCGGAUAUGCACCAUGAACGCAUGUUCUGAGGUGGGAAAGAUUUUUCGGUUGGGGAUGGGCUCGCGGCCUAUCAGCUUGUUGGUGAGGUAAUGGCUCACCAAGGCGUCGACGGGUAGCCGGCCUGAGAGGGUGACCGGCCACACUGGGACUGAGACACGGCCCAGACUCCUACGGGAGGCAGCAGUGGGGAAUAUUGCACAAUGGGCGAAAGCCUGAUGCAGCAACGCCGCGUGAGGGAUGACGGCCUUCGGGUUGUAAACCUCUUUUAGCAGGGAAGAAGCGAGAGUGACGGUACCUGCAGAAAAAGCGCCGGCUAACUACGUG